Molecule: ribosomal RNA, 1000 nt
Filed under: Buchnera aphidicola (Prociphilus erigeronensis)
Lineage: Bacteria; Pseudomonadati; Pseudomonadota; Gammaproteobacteria; Enterobacterales; Erwiniaceae
Description: bacterial SSU rRNA
Rfam family: Bacterial small subunit ribosomal RNA
Source: RNAcentral
CCGUCCAGACUCCUACGGGAGGCAGCAGUGGGGAAUAUUGCACAAUGGGCGAAAGCCUGAUGCAGCUAUACCGCGUGUAUGAAGAAGGCCUUAGGGUUGUAAAGUACUUUCGUUGGGGAGGAAAAAUAAAUAGAUAAUACCUGUUUAUCGUGACGUUACCCAAAAAAGAAGCACCGGCUAACUCCGUGCCAGCAGCCGCGGUAAUACGGAGGGUGCAAGCGUUAAUCAGAAUUACUGGGCGUAAAGAGCUCGUAGGCGGUUUUUUAAGUCAGAUGUGAAAUCCCUGGGCUUAACCUAGGAACUGCAUUUGAAACUAAAAGACUAGAGUAUCGUAGAGGGAGGUAGAAUUCUAGGUGUAGCGGUGAAAUGCGUAGAUAUCUGGAGGAAUACCUGUGGCGAAAGCGGCCUCCUAAACGAAUACUGACGCUGAGGUGCGAAAGCAUGGGGAGCAAACAGGAUUAGAUACCCUGGUAGUCCAUGCCGUAAACGAUGUCGACUUGGAGGUUGUUUCCUUGAGAAGUGACUUCCGAAGCUAACGCGUUAAGUCGACCGCCUGGGGAGUACGGUCGCAAGGCUAAAACUCAAAUGAAUUGACGGGGGCCCGCACAAGCGGUGGAGCAUGUGGUUUAAUUCGAUGCAACGCGAAAAACCUUACCUGGUCUUGACAUCCACAGAAUUUUUCAGAGAUGAGAAAGUGCCUUAGGGAACUGUGAGACAGGUGCUGCAUGGCUGUCGUCAGCUCGUGUUGUGAAAUGUUGGGUUAAGUCCCGCAACGAGCGCAACCCUUAUCCUCUGUUGCCAUUGGUUCGGCCAGGAACUCAGAGGAGACUGCCGGUUAUAAACCGGAGGAAGGCGGGGACGACGUCAAGUCAUCAUGGCCCUUACGACCAGGGCUACACACGUGCUACAAUGGUGUAUACAAAGAGAAGCAACUCUGCAAAGACAAGCAAACCUCAUAAAGUACAUCGUAGUCCGGACUGGAGUCUGCAACUCGACUCCC